Non-coding RNA from Macaca mulatta (Rhesus monkey), 1619 nucleotides. Lineage: Eukaryota; Metazoa; Chordata; Mammalia; Primates; Cercopithecidae. The record is from RefSeq and is a predicted model, not a curated record.
GCACAAUGAAAGGCUCUGAAAGUGACAGUGUUUUCUGGAUAACACAUUGAACUAUUUUGCUAUUGCUUUCAGACUUCAGAGGAGAAAAACGUACUUGUGCUGGGUAUGCAAGUGAAGGCUGCAUGGUGUGUGUGACUUCAGACUGCAAAACAAUACAAGAGUUCCAGUUGGACUAUUGAAAAAGUGCGAUCUAGAUUUUUAAAAUGUGCAAUAAAGAAGACAGCAAAGAGAUGGGCAUGAAGUGAAUUGCUAUUUUAAGUGCAGUCACAGAGUGUGAUAUGUGGGGUGUGCAAGGCAGCAGGCAGUGGGUUGAUGGUGUUGCUAGGAUUGAGAAAGGACAGGUCACACUUCAUCAUGACCUGUCAUCACUUUGUGAUUAAGAUUAGCAAUUUAAUCCUUCAGAAAAUGCAGAGUCAUUGAUGAUAGAAGAGCUAUUAUUUUAGGUGGCAUUUGAAAUAACCCUGCAGGAGAGGAAACAACAGGUGUAAAGUUGUAGAAAUAGGACACAGAGACAGCUCAGGAAGUUAUUGAAAAAUUCUGUGAGAUAUAGUAAUACCAGAAAUAAAGAUUCUUGCUGAUUCUGACCAUAAAGAAUGUGAGUGUAUAUCAUAAAAUGCCAAUAAUUAGAACAUAUUCUUUUUCCCUUUGGACUGGUAAAUAAAUAUAAAGAAGUUACAUUUUGUUUUUCCUUAACAAACAUUGAAAAAGCUUGUUUCAUGAUUAACUAUUAACACUCUAAUGUGCUGUUACUAAUAUAUCCAGUAUUUGUUCACCCGAGUCUUACCUAGAAGGUCAUUCUGGGGUAUCCACUUAUAGAGCCGAGUAUUGACACCUAAGGUAUCUGGUUUAUUCCCAUCAAAUCUCCACAGAACCUGUUACAGUAAAGAAAAUAUCUUAUUCCAUGAGUGGAAUUCAAAACUUAUAGAAUGUUCAAACUUUAAAAAGAGAAAAAGAGUAGGAAUGAGAUCAAGGGAUGUUAGUAAAUCAGAACUACUCAAAGACUGAUGUAAAUAGAAUACUCACUUUUAAUUUUGGCCAACUUCACAUUUGUCAGAAGUUUCUAUAAUUGGAUUACUUACAAACUUUAGCAGCCUCUUUCAGUAGUUUUCCACACCAAUAAGACACUUCAUCUUACCUUUUGUGGAAUCUGGGCAAGGGCUGAUGCAAUUACGUUGGCCCUUUCUUCUUUCAUGUUAGUGAUCAUUGACCCCAGAGUAAACACCACAACACCGUUUUCUCCAGAGCUCUGUACAAAUUCUUCCAUUUCCUGUGAAAAAGAAUUUGUUUCAUCACAAAAGAAUAACAGCAAAGCAGGCACUACUGAAAGAAUUGGUACAAGUUACUAAAGAGAGAAAAUCAGAGGCAGCAUUUGCAUCAGAAUAGAAGAGGCCACCAGGUCUUUCUGCAGGGGAGGUCUUGUCUCUCUUUUGAGUAGCUCACUCACACUACAUCACACUCCUCAUGAAGAUGUGCUUGGCUGCAAUCGAUUGAGAAUUAUUCUGACUUGCGUUCUCCAAUGUAAGCCAAUAUUUAAACUUAAAUACUUUCAGAUUUAAUCAUUGUGGUAAAACUUUUCCUAACGGUUCUUAAUAAAACAAAGAAAAAAGUCCAAAUGUUAA